UACGUAGGGGGCUAGCGUUGUCCGGAAUCAUUGGGCGUAAAGAGCGUGUAGGCGGCCCGGUAAGUCCGCUGUGAAAGUCGGGGGCUCAACCCUCGGAUGCCGGUGGAUACUGUCGGGCUCGAGUACGGAAGAGGCGAGUGGAAUUCCUGGUGUAGCGGUGAAAUGCGCAGAUAUCAGGAAGAACACCCGUGGCGAAGGCGGCUCUCUGGAACGCAACUGACGCUGAGACGCGAAAGCGUGGGGAGCAAACAGG
Molecule: ribosomal RNA, 253 nt
Filed under: uncultured bacterium
Lineage: Bacteria
Description: partial 16S ribosomal RNA
Rfam family: Bacterial small subunit ribosomal RNA
Source: RNAcentral